RNAcentral lists this ribosomal RNA (433 nucleotides) under uncultured bacterium. RNAcentral describes it as "partial 16S ribosomal RNA". It matches the Rfam family "Bacterial small subunit ribosomal RNA", at positions 29 to 507 of the family's 1533-position model. The record is from RNAcentral.
AGCGAACGCUGGCGGCAGGCCUAACACAUGCAAGUCGAACGGAUCCUUCGGGAUUAGUGGCGGGCGGGUGAGUAACACGUGGGAACGUGCCCUUUGGUUCGGAACAACUCAGGGAAACUUGAGCUAAUACCGGAUGUGCCCUUCGGGGGAAAGAUUUAUCGCCAUUGGAGCGGCCCGCGUCUGAUUAGCUAGUUGGUGAGGUAACGGCCCACCAAGGCGUCGAUCAGUAGCUGGUCUGAGAGGAUGAUCAGCCACACUGGGACUGAGACACGGCCCAGACUCCUACGGGAGGCAGCAGUGGGGAAUCUUGCGCAAUGGGCGAAAGCCUGACGCAGCCAUGCCGCGUGAAUGAUGAAGGUCUUAGGAUUGUAAAAUUCUUUCAGCGGGGACGAUAAUGACGGUACCCGCAGAAGAAGCUCCGGCUAACUUCGUG